This 939-nucleotide ribosomal RNA is filed under the name uncultured Gammaproteobacteria bacterium. RNAcentral describes it as "bacterial SSU rRNA". It matches the Rfam family "Bacterial small subunit ribosomal RNA", at positions 8 to 933 of the family's 1533-position model. The record is from RNAcentral. Lineage: Bacteria; Pseudomonadati; Pseudomonadota; Gammaproteobacteria.
AGAGUUUGAUCCUGGCUCAGAUUGAACGCUGGCGGUAUGCUUAACGCAUGCAAGUCGAACGGUAACAGCAGAGCUUGCUCUGGCUGACGAGUGGCGGACGGGUGCGUAACGCGUGGGAAUUUACCUUGUAGUGGGGGAUAGCCCGGAGAAAUCCGGAUUAACACCGCAUAAUCUCUACGGAGGAAAAGGGGCCUCUUCUUGAAAGCUCCUGCUAUUAGAUGAGCCCGCGUUGGAUUAGCUAGUUGGUAGGGUAAUGGCCUACCAAGGCGACGAUCCAUAGCUGGUUUGAGAGGAUGAUCAGCCACACUGGGACUGAGACACGGCCCAGACUCCUACGGGAGGCAGCAGUGGGGAAUAUUGGACAAUGGGCGCAAGCCUGAUCCAGCAAUACCGCGUGUGUGGAGAAGGCCUGAGGGUUGUAAAGCACUUUCAAUAGAGACGAAAAGCCUGGGAUUAAUACUUCCGGGUCUUGACUUAACCUAUAGAAGAAGCACCGGCUAACUCCGUGCCAGCAGCCGCGGUAAUACGGAGGGUGCAAGCGUUAAUCGGAAUUACUGGGCGUAAAGCGCUCGUAGGCGGCUUGUUAAGUCGGAUGUGAAAGCCCCGGGCUCAACCUGGGAACUGCAUUCGAUACUGGCAAGCUAGAGUAUAGUAGAGGCAAGUGGAAUUUCGGGUGUAGCGGUGAAAUGCGUAGAUAUCCGAAGGAACAUCAGUGGCGAAGGCGACUUGCUGGACUAAUACUGACGCUGAGGAGCGAAAGCGUGGGGAGCAAACGGGAUUAGAUACCCCGGUAGUCCACGCCGUAAACGAUGUCAACUAGCCGUUGGGGGGCUUAGUCCCUUUAGUGGCGCAGCUAACGGCAUUAAGUUGACCGCCCUGGGGAGUACGGUCGCAAGACUAUAAACUCAAAGGAAUUGACGGUGCGCCCGCACAAGCGGU